This 484-nucleotide ribosomal RNA is filed under the name uncultured bacterium. Its description in RNAcentral is "partial 16S ribosomal RNA". It matches the Rfam family "Bacterial small subunit ribosomal RNA", at positions 30 to 507 of the family's 1533-position model. The record is from RNAcentral.
AUUGAACGCUGGCGGCAGGCCUAACACAUGCAAGUCGAGCGGAUGAAGGUAGCUUGCUCCUGGAUUCAGCGGCGGACGGGUGAGUAAUGCCUAGGAAUCUGCCUGGUAGUGGGGGAUAACGUCCGGAAACGGGCGCUAAUACCGCAUACGUCCUGAGGGAGAAAGUGGGGGAUCUUCGGACCUCACGCUAUCAGAUGAGCCUAGGUCGGAUUAGCUAGUUGGUGGGGUAAAGGCCUACCAAGGCGACGAUCCGUAACUGGUCUAAGAGGAUGAUCAGUCACACUGGAACUGAGACACGGUCCAGACUCCUACGGGAGGCAGCAGUGGGGAAUAUUGGACAAUGGGCGAAAGCCUGAUCCAGCCAUGCCGCGUGUGUGAAGAAGGUCUUCGGAUUGUAAAGCACUUUAAGUUGGGAGGAAGGGCAGUAAGUUAAUACCUUGCUGUUUUGACGUUACCAACAGAAUAAGCACCGGCUAACUUCGUG